Molecule: long non-coding RNA, 291 nt
Filed under: Elaeis guineensis (African oil palm)
Lineage: Eukaryota; Viridiplantae; Streptophyta; Magnoliopsida; Arecales; Arecaceae
Description: long non-coding RNA (EGUI_LNC038758)
Source: RNAcentral
GCUUAGGUAGAUUUAGAUCUGAUAUCUAGCAUAUGGAGUUAAAGGGUUUAACCUAUUUUAUUUUUCGUUGCUUGUUUUCAAAGUUUUGAAAUCUACACAUAUUGCCUUCCUAGUUUUGUAAUAGGUCCAACCAUUAACAUAACAUACCAAGUGCAUCCAACAAACAGAUGUCUAGGCCCGAGUAUGGCUCGAAUAACCUGAGCAUUGAUCUGAAAAUAUAUCAUGAUGGUCAUAUGAUGAAUGACAAUUUCAACAUGUAAUAGACACCAAGCGUGUGGCGCCUCCAAUACC